GACCAAGUCUGUGUGUUUUUGAAAAUUUUUCUAAUUUUGAGCAAAAUUACUUUCUUCUUACUCCUCCUUUCCUAUUCUCUCUUUUGAUCUUCCUGGCUUCAGGAGUUUGGGGAGUCUGAAUAUUGAUCUUUAUGGACACUUGAUGUAACAAAUCAUGUUGAUGCUGAUGAAACAACAUCUCUGCCUUGACUGCAUUGUGAAACUACAGAAGAUAGAAACAGAAACCAGUGAUGGUGGCAGGUUGCUGAUCACUUCAGACCAGAACCUUUGGUCAGCAAGGAGCUUCCUUUCCCCAAAGGAUGAAUUCCUGUCAACGCGGUGGUUCUUUGACAUUCUGCUGUGAAGAUGGAAGAAAUAUGCCUGUAGCAACAUAGCAAUGGCAAGGUCAGUGAAACCGAGGGGAGAAAUAAGAGAGUUUGCAAGGCUUUUGCUCUCAGUGGGGGAAAUUAAAGGUGGCUUAUAUUAUAAAAUAUUAAAUAGUGAUUUAAUCAGCAGUGAGAUAUGUAAGUGAGCUUAAUUAGAAAUACAUAUUAUUCUUUGACUUUAAAGCACAAAAUGAAAAAUUAAAGCAAUCUUGGAGGAUAUGUAAUCAGCGAGGAAUAAUAUGUUGGAA
RNAcentral lists this long non-coding RNA (613 nucleotides) under Anas platyrhynchos platyrhynchos (common mallard). RNAcentral's name for it is "lncRNA (ENSAPLG00000018681.1)". The record is from RNAcentral. Lineage: Eukaryota; Metazoa; Chordata; Aves; Anseriformes; Anatidae.